GUGGUUAUAGCCCAGUGGUAGAGCGCAUGAUUAGUGUGCACAAGGUCCUGGGUUCAAGCCCCAGUGCCUUCA
RNAcentral lists this transfer RNA (72 nucleotides) under Camelus bactrianus (Bactrian camel). It matches the Rfam family "tRNA". From Rfam's summary of the family: Transfer RNA (tRNA) molecules are approximately 80 nucleotides in length. Lineage: Eukaryota; Metazoa; Chordata; Mammalia; Artiodactyla; Camelidae. The record is from Rfam by way of RNAcentral. RNAcentral also lists the same sequence under 2 other names.